AGUUGGACAGGGGAUCUUGACAGUUUGAGCUAUGUGCUGCCAGAUCUAUCUUUCCAGCUCA
RNAcentral lists this non-coding RNA (61 nucleotides) under Spodoptera frugiperda (fall armyworm). The record is from RNAcentral. Lineage: Eukaryota; Metazoa; Arthropoda; Insecta; Lepidoptera; Noctuidae.